This 301-nucleotide ribosomal RNA is filed under the name uncultured bacterium. RNAcentral's name for it is "partial 16S ribosomal RNA". It matches the Rfam family "Bacterial small subunit ribosomal RNA", at positions 509 to 807 of the family's 1533-position model. The record is from RNAcentral.
CAGUAGCCGCGGGAAUACGGAGGGUGCAAGCGUUAAUCGGAAUUACUGGGCGUAAAGCGCACGCAGGCGGUUUGUUAAGUCAGAUGUGAAAUCCCCGAGCUUAACUUGGGAACUGCAUUUGAAACUGGCAAGCUAGAGUCUUGUAGAGGGGGGUAGAAUUCCAGGUGUAGCGGUGAAAUGCGUAGAGAUCUGGAGGAAUACCGGUGGCGAAGGCGGCCCCCUGGACAAAGACUGACGCUCAGGUGCGAAAGCGUGGGGAGCAAACAGGAUUAGAUACCCCAGUAGUCCCUGUCUCUUAUAC